CAAAACAGCCAAGAUAUGGAAACACAACAGCCCAGAUGUCCAACAGUAGAUGAGUGGAUCCAAAAACAUGUGGUACCUAUACACAAUGGAAUUUUACACAGCCAUUAGAAAGAAUAUAAUUAUGUCAUUUGCAGGGAAAUGGAACUAGAAUAGAUCGUGUUAA
Long non-coding RNA from Perognathus longimembris pacificus (Pacific pocket mouse), 163 nucleotides. RefSeq lists it as uncharacterized. Lineage: Eukaryota; Metazoa; Chordata; Mammalia; Rodentia; Heteromyidae. The transcript is spliced from 3 exons. The record is from RefSeq and is a predicted model, not a curated record.